AGAAAUGGAUUUUAGACACUUAGUACUCUCUGAGCAUUGUGGGCCCGAAUACCUGUAAGCAAUGACAUUUGCCUCUCUUUCUUGUCCCUUAAGAGUAAAUGAGAGAAUUCUUGCCUCAUUAAUCCAUUGUACACCUUUUAAUACUGGCUGACUGAUAAAAUUCUGGUUCUGUAUACUUUGACUUUGAAACAAAGAGGCCCUCUGAAGUGAAAUGAGAGCUGUUUAAGAGGUGAAAGGAGGCAAAAGCCCUUUUAUAGAAGGCAUUAGUAUGGACAUCAUCAUUCCCAGGAAGGGACUGAUUCAGAGACACUAUGACACAACCUUCAGUCAUGGGCUGGUGGCAGAGUGCUUCAUUUGUGUUUUCUGCAUGGGCUUAAAUCAGUGAUUCAGAAGCUAAUCUAAGAAAACUGCUUGAGUUUUCCUAGCUAUUUUCAAGCAUUUUUGGUCUCACCCAGAAGUAGUAAACAGGAAGUCAGGAGAUGGGUGUUCUAGCUCUAGUUCUUCUAGUUACUAAUUUCUAACAUGGGGCAAGUCUGUGAAUUCAUUCAUUUGUUUACUUAUUAAGAAUUUCUUGAGGAAAUAUAGUGUGUGAUAAAUAUUCUGCUGGCUUGAAGAGACAUACAAUCAUGCAUCUUGGUAAUAUCUCACAAUAAAUGUUCAAAACAGAUUCAUUGAAAGAAACUUUUGGACAAUAGUUUUUCCAUCUAUAAAUUAGAGGACUUGACUAAUUUCUGUUUCCUGCCUCUAAAAUUGAGUCUGGACAGCCUGUGUUAAACAGUGCUUUUGCUCUUUUCAAGUUAACGCAGAAUAGUGACCUUUAAUGUGUGUUGGCUACAGAAAGAAAAGUAGUUCUUUCAUGUCCUGUGGUCUCUUCCAUUUUAUGGUGCUUUCUGCAAUGCGAGGGCAGUUUGAUGACCUGGGACUACUUUUCCAAACAGAAUUGAAUUGGACUACGUCAGGUUUUUGUGCCAUCAAUCACAGGCCUUCUGCAAUCCCAAACCUCAUUACCUACUGAAUUAUGAACCAACAUGCUCCAGACAAGAGGCAGGGUAGUGGAUGUGUGGCCCAAACAAUCAUUCUUUCCUAAUAGCACCAUCAUUUUAAUUUAGGCUGAAAAAUAUUAGCAUUUAUUGAUCACUUAUUGCAUGCCAGGCACUGUGAUGGACAAUUUCCCAAGGAUUAACCCAUUGACGGCAUACUUUAUAGGUGGGAAGAAUUAUAGGGGCUCAAAGAGGUGAGGUAUCUUGGUCAAAUUUGCCCCACUAAUCCUACUCUUUUCUCUAAAUCCCAUGUAGAUUUUAAGAGGGAAGGCAGAGGACCCAGUCUGAUUGUAAAUUUGUAGAGGAUAUUAGGGUUGGUUUUGCUGCUGGACAUUUUUAUCAGUGGCUCAGCUGGAUAUGAAAGUCCUUCUAAUAGCUGAUCAGGUUAUUUCCAGAUGAGCCAUCUAGAACUGUAUGUAUACAGAGGUCAGGAAAGCCACCAGCAGGCAGCAAAAUGGCAUUGUGCUUUGGAGAGAGAGAAACAAAAGGAGUGGGGGGAUUCUCUUAGGAUCACGCAUCUGUUUCUGGGAGGGAAGAUGGGAUACCACUGAGAAGUGGGAAGGAACCUCUGCGUCUGAGAUAAAGGAACAUGGGGGCUGAGAGAAUGAAAUGAAAAAAAAGAAAGGAUCUGUGGUUCCUCACAAUUAUAGCGAGGCCAGAGCUAGCAGGGACACUGGCUAGUUACUUCCCACUCAGGCACCUUGGCUGUAAGGACAGGUGCAGAGCAGGGUCCUGUUGAAACCCAGAUGCCGCCUUUCAGCUCGGCAAUUCAAACAAGAGACCAGCAAACCCAGGGAUCCAUUUCCAAAGACUGCCCAGAUACAUUAGCAGUGUGAAUCCCACUGAAAUCCAUGGGUGGAACAAUUAUGUCUUUCUGCAGCACUUUGAAAAUGUGUCCCUUAAGUUGCACACUGCAGAGCAGCACAGUCCUCAUUUCAUGCUUUCCACACAAAUGGACUUGCUCCCUUUGCCCAGUCCUGAGGGGAACCCUUUACCAUUCAGCUACAGAACCUACUGGCAGUGGGAAAAGGCUGUUGAGUUCUGAAAGACGGUUACAUCCUUUAGAAAUCACCAUGUAUGAGUGGGGUGAUUAAAAAAUAUCUCCAGCAAUUCUUUGAAACUCUUUCCUAGUCUAGGUUGGACUCAGUGACUCACUUCUAAGGGAUAGAAUAAAACAGAAGUGAUAGUGUGUGGCUUCCAAAACUGGGUUAUAAAAGGGUUUCUCUUAGCUCUCUCUCACGUUACUUACUCUGGGGGAAGCCAGUGGCAUGUGUGAAGAUGCUGAAGCAGCCGUGUAGAGAGGUCCACAUGGCAAGGAACUCCUGCAUAAGUCAUCUUGGAGGAGGAUACUGCAGCUUGAUCCAAACCCUCAGAUGGUGCAGCCCCAACUGCCAUCCUGGCUGUGACCUCAAGAGACAGCCCAGGCCAGAACCACUCAGACAAGCCACGCAUACAUUCCUGGCCCUCAGAAACUGUGAGAUCAUCAAUAUUUGUUGUUUAAGCCUGAUAUAGUUUGAGUGCUUGUCUCCCCGAAAUCUCAUGUUGAAAUGUAAUCCCCAAUGUUAGAGGUGAGGCUUGGUGGGAAGUGUCUGGGUCAUGGGGUAGAUCCUUCAUGAAUGACUUGGUGCCCUCCCCACGGUAAUUAGGGAGCUCUUGCUCUGUCAGUGCACAUGAGAGCUCUUUGUUUAAAAGAGCCUGACAUUUCUCUUGCUCCCUCUCUCGUUAUGUGGUGUGCCAGCUCCCCCUUUGCCUUCUGCCAUAAGUGGAAGCUUCCUGAGGCCUUCACUAGGGGCAGAUGCAGGCAUUAUGUUUCUCUUACAGACUGCAGAACCCUGAGACAAAUAAACCUCUUUUCUUUAUAAACUACCCAGAUUCAGGUAUUCCUUUAUAGCAAUGCAAGAAUAUACUAAUACAAAGCCAUUACUUUUGAGGUACUUUUUUUUUUUACGUAACAAUAGCUAACAUAAUAAUGUAUUAAUAUUAUCAUUAUUAUCUUCUUGCUUCUUUAAGGCUUCGAAAUGUGUCUUCUUCCCUUUAUUCUAAACUGGUGGAUGCAUCAUAGUUUCAUAACCUCUAGUCCCCACCCCCUUGCCACCCUGAGUCCUCUGCUUGGCAUUCCUUCCCUGGGCUCUAAUCAGUUCUGGUUUCUGUUCCAUUGGGGUGACUAACAUCCUCCACUCACUCUCCUCACACCUUUGACCCGAAUACCAUCCCUUCUCCAUGUGGCAGGUGAUCCAAUUCCUGCUCCUACACGCUUGCCAGUUGGGUGACCCUAAGCAAGUUAUUUAUCCUCUGUGUCUCACUGUCUCCAUAUGUACAUAGAGAAUAAUAAUAAUCAUCCCAUUGAAGUAUUAUAAGGCUUAACUGAGAUAGAAAACUCAUAGAACAAUGAAAAUAUGAUCUCAAGUAAAUAAGAGCUGUUAUUAAUAUAGAGAAGCAGUAUUGGUCUCUAUACUGCAAAGGAUAAUGGCUAAGAAUAUGGUCUAGGGAGCUAGGUGGCCUAGGUUUAAAUCCCAGAAACAUCCAUCACCAGUUAUAGAACAUUGGGAAGAUGAUAGUAAUGCUAAAAAUGAUGACUUCUGAAUGCCACUGUGAGAAUUAAAUGAGUUUAUCUAUGUAAAAGUGCUUAGAAGGGUGCUGACAGUGAGCUCUACAGAAAUGUGAAUAUUAUUUUAGUUGUUGUUGGGGCUAUUAUUAUUAUUUCAGUGAUAAAUGAUAAACCUCCAGGUUAAAACUCCUUCAACAUCCUGACACCAAUCUUCCACAUGUGUACUCUCUCCCAUUCUCCUUCAGUGACAAGUGUACCCACAGUUGAUCUUUCCUCCUUAGCUCUGGGCCCCAUCACCUCAUGGCCCUUCUAGGAGUUAUUCAUCACUUAUCACCUCUCUGUCCCAUGUCCCUUUCUGCUAUCAGCACAUAAACAAACUCCAGUCUCCCCCCAUCUUAAAGGAAAAAUUCCCUCACACUGUGGCUCCCUUUGGCUACCUGGAUCUCUCCCCCUCACAACCAAAACCUCUAAGAGGUCUCUGCCAACUCUGCUUCUCCACUUCUUCCUCCUGAACCCAUUGAAAAGUGCUGCCUUGUCACCAUUCUUCUGAAACAGCUUUGACCAGUAAUGCCAGUGAUAUCCAUCUUGAUGAAAUGGAUGGGCACUUCCAGGUCUCUGCCUUCCUUAGCCUCUUGAUAGAACUUGGCAUUGCACUUCACACUCUUCUUCAGAAGCACACUCUUCUUUUGGCUUGCAUGACUCCCUCUGACUUUGCUUCUACCUCUCAGACAUUGCUUUGGUCUCCUUUGCAGGCUGCUUGUCCUCUGCUCAUCCAUUAAAAGCUGGAGACCAUGAGGAUCCCGGGGUAAGCCAUCCUUUUCCUCAUCUGAAUACUCUCCCAUCCACCAUAAUGACUUUAAUUGCCAUCUGUAUGAGAUGCCUUCCAAAUCUAAGCGUGUAGCCAGAUCGUGCUUCUGAACUUCUAUCUCACAUACUCACUGGCCUGCCAGAUAUUUUCAUAUAGGUAGAUAUCUCAAAGGAAAGUCAAAAUCAACAUGCCCAGAUCCAAACUCAUCACUGUUCUCACUAGAACCGCAUUUCCCACGUAAGUGAAUGUGACUAAGGCAGUUAGCUCCAAAGCUGAGUGUGGUCCAGGCUCAGCAAGCAUUGGCUCUGUCUGGUAUAAUUAUAACAGAUUUGGGCGGGUGUCCUUGUCUCCGACCUUUUCCUCACACAUCUCCCCAGAUACAUCUUAUCUAAUCUAAUCGUAAAAAUCCAAUCAACUCCAUGCCAGGGCCACUCCUGGAAAGUUUUCUGAGCUUAUAAUAUGAAGUCAUAUUUGGCUUGCCUCAGAAAUAAGUAACAAAUGUACUGACUUGGUAACUACAUUAAAUUAGCAAUCAAUUGUGUUAUUGAACUUGAUGUUUCCUGGCUUGAAACAUAAAGAUGGCAUCAAAAGAGCACUUUCCAAUUAAACAUAAGAACCCUUACAGGCUAUAAAACUUGGAGAAAUAAAUCUAUAGUUUAGGGAAAAUAGAAGACAUCAUUGAAUGUGAAGAUAAUUUAAUAACCACACAAGAUGAUGUGUUGUAAAUCUACCCAAACACAAUUUCCAUCCUCAAGUUAAAAUGGAAAGUGCUUUGUCUUUUGAUUAUGUCUGGGUUUUUAAAUUGUUAUGUGUCUUGUUAAUCUAGAUUUCAGAGAAGACAAACAAUCAAGCCUUCAGAAACUCUUCAUUUACCUGACACAAAUCUGGUCAGAUUGUUUUCUAAAGUAGGAAAUCUAAAUUCAAACUGUGUCAUAUGAAAAUUAUAUUUCACUGGAAGUUCCUUCUUGACUUUAUACUGGUGAUACUUUCAGAAUCCUCUAUCCAGGUCAAGAUUCUCUAGGGACAAAGAAAGGGGCUCCGGUCAUGCAUCGAGUCUGUCUCUGAGUUCGGUUUACAGUCACAGAUAUGUGCCAAUAUCUCAACCAACAAUAAAGAUACUCUAUCACUGAAUAUUUUCUUACAUCUUACUUGACAUACAUAUAUUUAAGGAAAUGGGCAUUAGAGACAGUUGGAUCUUGGUUUUGAUCCUGUUUACUCAACUGUAAAGGGGGUAUAAUACAUACCUUGUAAAACUAAUAUAUGCAGUCGCAGAGCACAGUCAAAUAAAAGCUCAAUAAAUUAUAAUUACUAUUAUUGUGGUUAUGCUCAUAGAAGUUGUAUGAAGACAGGCAGAACAAGUGUUUUUAUAGAGAUGAAGAAACCAAAUCUUACAGAGUUUAAGUGGCAUGUCAAUAUGUCAUGUUCAUACAAACUAUGACAUUAAGGGUUAACAAGAAAUAAACAAUUCAGUCCUCAUUUUGGGGAGUUUUUAAUUAAGUUGGUACAAUGGACUGAAUGUUUAUGUCCCUUCUUCACCCAAAUUUAUAUGUUGAAAUUCAAAUUUCCAAGGCGAUAAUGAGGAGAGGGGACCUUUGGAGGUGAUCAGGUCAUGAGGGCGGGGCCCUAUGAAUGGGAUUAGGGCCUUACAAAAGGGACCCCAGAGAGAUCCCUAUCUCUUUCUACCAUGUGAAGACACAGCAGGAAGGGGCUGUCCAGCCUCCUGAAUUGUGGAAAAAUAAAUUUCUAUUGUUUAUAAGCCCCCUGGUCUGUGGCAUUUUGUUAUAGAAACCUGAAAAGACUAAGACAGCUGGGGAGGAAGAAGACAGCUGUGGUAACAUUACAAUCAGGGAUAUGACGUUAAGGGUGAAGUUAGUCAGGAAAGAUGUCCUGGUGGAAGUGAGCCUUGAGCUAAAUUUGAUGAAGUGUAGGAUUAUGGAUAGUAAUAGAGGAGAGGGAUGGUGGAAAUAAUAUGGAGAAACCACAGAGGUGGAGCCAACCUCAAUAACUGAAACAGUGUAUGUUUUCAGGCCUAAGUGGCAGGGGAUAAAAUGAUUACCAUCUCAGUAUUCAUAGCCUUAUUCCUCACCAAAAUCUGUUGUUCGAUCUAUUAAUUGAGAAAAAAAGGGCUUGGUUAAACAGAGUGGACAAUAUUUAAAUUUAAAACAUCAAGAUUAGUGCUGUCCCUCAGAUGGGUAGAUCACACAUCUUUCAAAAGCUUUAGAGAAAGGCCUGUUUCCAUCCCACACUGUUUUACCGCCACACCCAACAGGCCGCUCCCUCACCUUCCACCUUCCACCUUGAGUUGCUAUCUAAGAAAACAGUUUUACAGCCAGAUGCUUGGUUAAAAAAUGUCCCCACUGUAGUCACAAUCAUGUGAUGCAGCUUGGGGGUAGGAUUAGAGAUGAAGUUGUGAAGUAGGUAAGAUUUAUCAUUAUCUGUUCCAUAAUACUUAUUUUCCCUGUAGCUUGAAUCUCAUCAUGCCCAAUCCAUCUUCAUCAAUAUUUACUGAGCACCUACUAAGUGUGAGGCUCUAAGUUGGGUUCUGAGAAUCCAAAGACAAAUGCUCUACACUUAAGUAACAUGAAGCCCAGCUAUGAGAUGAGACCUGAAGGGAGGAUCAAGACUAUGUUCAGUUGGGAAGGCAGACAAUGUCAGUAAGUCCCAUUGGAAUGCAUAAGUUUCUAGUUGCAUACAACCAAGAAGAAGAAUGGGAAGAAACAAAAGAAGAAAAAAAAUGAGGAGUGAAGGGAGAAGUUGAAGUCAGAGAAAAAGUUGGAAUGGGAGGUAGAAGAAUCAGAAGUGAUUCUCCCAAUUCAACAGAUAAGUAAAUGAGAAGUCAUGGAAAGCGACAGCACUCAGGACUUACAUCUCUUCCAAUGAGGUCCUCCUGGUUUUCCACAAUUCCCCAGGGGGCA
This 7311-nucleotide long non-coding RNA is filed under the name Homo sapiens (human). RNAcentral's name for it is "HSALNT0352718". The record is from RNAcentral. Lineage: Eukaryota; Metazoa; Chordata; Mammalia; Primates; Hominidae.